RNAcentral lists this ribosomal RNA (727 nucleotides) under Lactococcus lactis subsp. lactis. RNAcentral's name for it is "bacterial SSU rRNA". It matches the Rfam family "Bacterial small subunit ribosomal RNA", at positions 56 to 767 of the family's 1533-position model. Lineage: Bacteria; Bacillati; Bacillota; Bacilli; Lactobacillales; Streptococcaceae. The record is from RNAcentral.
UGCAGUUGAGCGCUGAAGGUUGGUACUUGUACCAACUGGAUGAGCAGCGAACGGGUGAGUAACGCGUGGGGAAUCUGCCUUUGAGCGGGGGACAACAUUUGGAAACGAAUGCUAAUACCGCAUAAAAACUUUAAACACAAGUUUUAAGUUUGAAAGAUGCAAUUGCAUCACUCAAAGAUGAUCCCGCGUUGUAUUAGCUAGUUGGUGAGGUAAAGGCUCACCAAGGCGAUGAUACAUAGCCGACCUGAGAGGGUGAUCGGCCACAUUGGGACUGAGACACGGCCCAAACUCCUACGGGAGGCAGCAGUAGGGAAUCUUCGGCAAUGGACGAAAGUCUGACCGAGCAACGCCGCGUGAGUGAAGAAGGUUUUCGGAUCGUAAAACUCUGUUGGUAGAGAAGAACGUUGGUGAGAGUGGAAAGCUCAUCAAGUGACGGUAACUACCCAGAAAGGGACGGCUAACUACGUGCCAGCAGCCGCGGUAAUACGUAGGUCCCGAGCGUUGUCCGGAUUUAUUGGGCGUAAAGCGAGCGCAGGUGGUUUAUUAAGUCUGGUGUAAAAGGCAGUGGCUCAACCAUUGUAUGCAUUGGAAACUGGUAGACUUGAGUGCAGGAGAGGAGAGUGGAAUUCCAUGUGUAGCGGUGAAAUGCGUAGAUAUAUGGAGGAACACCGGUGGCGAAAGCGGCUCUCUGGCCUGUAACUGACACUGAGGCUCGAAAGCGUGGGGA